Acanthosepion pharaonis is the source of this 102-nucleotide non-coding RNA. Lineage: Eukaryota; Metazoa; Mollusca; Cephalopoda; Sepiida; Sepiidae. The record is from the annotation of a GenBank genome assembly.
CACUUUGAAACAUUGGUUCUCGUGCGAUCACCGAAGUUAAGCAACGUCGAGCCUAGUCACUACCUAGAUAGGGAACCUCUUUGGAAUACCAGGUGAUGUAAG